UAUUUUAUAGUCAUUGAAUCAAAUGGAAACACCAAUAGUAUUGAUGAGCAUACUUGUGUGUGUCAUACUUGCUAAGGCAAGAUUAGCCAAUACUCGUGAUUCUUCGUUAUAAAGAAUUAUCAAAAGUUCGACCCUUCGAUCCUCUUCAAAGAAACAUUAUCACACAUUCCAAAUGAAAAUAUAAGAACCAAUUAAAUCGCAUGAACAAGUAAACACGCAAUAUUUAUCAAGUUAUUUACACCAAAGAAAAGGAGAACACUUGUAAUAAAACGGUACUUUUCCGGACUCUCGUAUAAUAGGAAACAAAUAACAUGAUAUUCAAUAAGAUUGAUUAAUUAAUUACCAAAAUUUGCAAUAUUUCGAUUAUGCAUAGAUAGAACAUAAUUCUUGUAAGAGAAAUUCAAUCUUUAUAUGUAUAGAAGCAAGAUAUCAAGUUUUCGAGAUUUUAACAACAAACAAGUCAGGAUCAAAUAACAAAAUCAAAGACUCGUACAUCAAAAUUUUAAAUUUUAACAAAUACCCAUUUCCUUGAAUCUAUUUACUACUAGUGAAUGCACGUGCAACGUGGGUGAUGUAGUGUAAGAAAUAAUGUUGAAAUUCGGUUAUGUGGUACUUCAACGAAAAAUGAAACUUAUUUGAAGGCUGAUGACAUUGGAUUAUAUAAAAUAUGUGUUCACACGUACUUACAUUGGCGGUGGUAAUAUGAAGUAAAAACCAGAGCCCUUACAUGCCACACUUGAAUACAUGGGUUUUAACAUGUUAAUAUGUAUAAUGAACAAAAUCAAGUAUGGCAAAUAGAGAUGUUGUAGAAUCUGAAUUGAGAGAUGCUAGGGCUCGAACCCAGACCAGGUUCUGCUCAAGGCAAUGGAUGACUGUCAAUUACUGUUAGGUGAGGCAGAAAUUUGACAAGUUUGGAAAAGGAAAAUUAAGUUCACCAUUUGAGCAUAUAGUGCACAAGAACAAUAGAUUUGGAUAUAAAAUACAUUAAUGAUAUUGAAAUGGUGUUCCUCUUUCAAAAGAAAGGUAUAUCUACAUGUUUAGAAUCCAAUUUUAUACAUGUUUUCAUUUAUAUAUUCUGGAAGUUGCUACAUUUGAGACUUAAAAAUAUUACAACUUGAAUGAAUUAAAUCUAGCAAUCUCGUUUUCAAAUGAAGAAAGAGUUUGAGAGGACAUUAUGUGCUCUUAAUUUAGAUUAAAAAAUUGAUAAACAGAUGUUUAAAGUUAAUGAUUUUGAUUUAUUGUGGAUCAAAGUUUCAAAUAAA
Molecule: long non-coding RNA, 1262 nt
Filed under: Olea europaea (common olive)
Lineage: Eukaryota; Viridiplantae; Streptophyta; Magnoliopsida; Lamiales; Oleaceae
Description: long non-coding RNA (OEUR_LNC001555)
Source: RNAcentral